RNAcentral lists this ribosomal RNA (497 nucleotides) under uncultured bacterium. RNAcentral describes it as "partial 16S ribosomal RNA". It matches the Rfam family "Bacterial small subunit ribosomal RNA", at positions 28 to 507 of the family's 1533-position model. The record is from RNAcentral.
GAUGAACGCUGGCGGCGUGCCUAAUACAUGCAAGUCGAGCGAACAGAUGAGGAGCUUGCUCCUCUGACGUUAGCGGCGGACGGGUGAGUAACACGUGGAUAACCUACCUAUAAGACUGGGAUAACUUCGGGAAACCGGAGCUAAUACCGGAUAAUAUAUUGAACCGCAUGGUUCAAUAGUGAAAGACGGUUUUGCUGUCACUUAAAGAUGGAUCCGCGCCGCAUUAGCUAGUUGGUAAGGUAACGGCUUACCAAGGCAACGAUGCGUAGCCGACCUGAGAGGGUGAUCGGCCACACUGGAACUAAGACACGGUCCAGACUCCUACGGGAGGCAGCAGUAGGGAAUCUUCCGCAAUGGGCGAAAGCCUGACGGAGCAACGCCGCGUGAGUGAUGAAGGUCUUCGGAUCGUAAAACUCUGUUAUUAGGGAAGAACAAAUGUGUAAGUAACUAUGCACGUCUUGACGGUACCUAAUCAGAAAGCCACGGCUAACUACGUG